GGUCGCGUGGCGCAACGGAUAGCGCAUUGGGCUUCGGACCCAAAGGUUGUGGGUUCGAGUCCCACCGCGUCCG
Molecule: transfer RNA, 73 nt
Filed under: Blastocystis sp. ATCC 50177/Nand II
Lineage: Eukaryota; Bigyra; Opalinata; Blastocystidae
Description: Blastocystis sp. ATCC 50177 tRNA
Rfam family: tRNA
About the family: Transfer RNA (tRNA) molecules are approximately 80 nucleotides in length. Their secondary structure includes four short double-helical elements and three loops (D, anti-codon, and T loops).
Source: Rfam by way of RNAcentral